RNAcentral lists this ribosomal RNA (611 nucleotides) under uncultured bacterium. RNAcentral's name for it is "bacterial SSU rRNA". It matches the Rfam family "Bacterial small subunit ribosomal RNA", at positions 338 to 954 of the family's 1533-position model. The record is from RNAcentral.
CCUACGGGAGGCAGCAGUGAGGAAUAUUGGACAAUGGGCGCAAGCCUGAUCCAGCCAUGCCGCGUGCAGGAAGACGGUCCUAUGGAUUGUAAACUGCUUUUAUACAGGAAGAAACACUCGGACGUGUCCGAACUUGACGGUACUGUAUGAAUAAGCAUCGGCUAACUCCGUGCCAGCAGCCGCGGUAAUACGGAGGAUGCAAGCGUUAUCCGGAAUCAUUGGGUUUAAAGGGUCCGUAGGCGGUCAUAUAAGUCAGUGGUGAAAGCCCAUCGCUCAACGAUGGAACGGCCAUUGAUACUGUUUGACUUGAAUUAUUAGGAAGUAACUAGAAUAUGUAGUGUAGCGGUGAAAUGCUUAGAGAUUACAUGGAAUACCAAUUGCGAAGGCAGGUUACUACUAAUAUAUUGACGCUGAUGGACGAAAGCGUGGGGAGCGAACAGGAUUAGAUACCCUGGUAGUCCACGCCGUAAACGAUGGAUACUAGCUGUUCGGAGCAAUCUGAGUGGCUAAGCGAAAGUGAUAAGUAUCCCACCUGGGGAGUACGUUCGCAAGAUGAAACUUAAAGGAAUUGACGGUNUGAGACGAGCGAGGACGACGACGAGGGAGGUAGG